Molecule: ribosomal RNA, 253 nt
Filed under: uncultured bacterium
Lineage: Bacteria
Description: partial 16S ribosomal RNA
Rfam family: Bacterial small subunit ribosomal RNA
Source: RNAcentral
UACGAAGGGGGCUAGCGUUGCUCGGAAUUACUGGGCGUAAAGGGCGCGUAGGCGGCACUGUUAGUCAGGCGUGAAAGUCCUGGGCUCAACCUGGGAACUGCGCUUGAUACGGCAGAGCUAGAGGAUGGAAGAGGCUCGCGGAAUUCCCAGUGUAGAGGUGAAAUUCGUAGAUAUUCGGAGGAACACCAGUGGCGAAGGCGGCUCACUGGUCCGGUACUGACGCUGAGGUGCGAAAGCGUGGGGAGCAAACAGG